This 406-nucleotide ribosomal RNA is filed under the name uncultured bacterium. RNAcentral's name for it is "bacterial SSU rRNA". It matches the Rfam family "Bacterial small subunit ribosomal RNA", at positions 98 to 520 of the family's 1533-position model. The record is from RNAcentral.
GCGGACGGGUAGUAACACGUAGCAACUGCCCUUACACUGGAAUAACAGUUGGAAACAGCUGCUAAUACCGGGUAGGUGACCUGUCACCGCAUGUGGUGGGUGGAAAGCCCUGGCGGUCAAGGAUGGGCUCGCGGCCUAUCAGCUAGUUGGUGAGGUAAUGGCUCACCAAGGCUUCGACGGGUAGCCGGCCUGAGAGGGCGACCGGCCACACUGGACUGAGAUACGGGCCGGAGUCCUACGGGAGGCAGCAGUGGGGAAUAUUGCACAAUGGGGAAAGCCUGAUGCAGCAACGCCGGUGCGGGGAUGACGGGCCUUCGNGUUGUAAACCGUUUCAGUAGGGACGAAGCUAACGUGACGGUACCCUACNAGAAGAAGCACCGGGCAAACUACGUCCCAGCCGCCGGGG